CACGUAGGGCGCAAGCGUUGUCCGGAAUUAUUGGGCGUAAAGAGCUCGUAGGUGGUCUGUUGCGUCCGCUGUGAAAACUCGGGGCUUAACCCCGAGCCUGCAGUGGAUACGGGCAGACUAGAGGUAGGUAGGGGAGAAUGGAGUUCCUGGUGUAGCGGUGAAAUGCGCAGAUAUCAGGAGGAACACCGGUGGCGAAGGCGGCUCACUGGACCAUAACUGACGCUGAGGCACGAAAGCUAGGGGAGCAAACAGG
This 253-nucleotide ribosomal RNA is filed under the name uncultured bacterium. RNAcentral describes it as "partial 16S ribosomal RNA". It matches the Rfam family "Bacterial small subunit ribosomal RNA", at positions 524 to 776 of the family's 1533-position model. The record is from RNAcentral.